RNAcentral lists this ribosomal RNA (440 nucleotides) under uncultured bacterium. RNAcentral describes it as "partial 16S ribosomal RNA". It matches the Rfam family "Bacterial small subunit ribosomal RNA", at positions 338 to 795 of the family's 1533-position model. The record is from RNAcentral.
CCUACGGGAGGCAGCAGUGGGGAAUAUUGCACAAUGGGGGAAACCCUGAUGCAGCGACGCCGCGUGAGUGAAGCAGUCUUUCGGUAUGUAAAGCUCUAUCAGCAGGGAAGACAAUGACGGUACCUGAUUAAGAAGCCCCGGCUAACUACGUGCCAGCAGCCGCGGGAAUACGUCGGGGGCCAGCGUUAUCCGGAUUUCCUGGGGGUAAAGGGAGCGUAGACGGCAGCACAAGUCUGGAGUGAAAUGCCGGGGCUUAACCCCGGAACUGCUUUGGAAACUGUGCAGCUAGAGUGCAGGAGAGGUAAGUGGAAUUCCUAGUGGAGCGGUGAAAUGCGUAGAUAUUAGGAGGAACACCAGUGGCGAAGGCGGCUUACUGGACUGUAACUGACGUUGAGGCUCGAAAGCGUGGGGAGCAAACAGGAUUAGAGACCCGGGUAGUC